This 442-nucleotide ribosomal RNA is filed under the name uncultured bacterium. RNAcentral describes it as "partial 16S ribosomal RNA". It matches the Rfam family "Bacterial small subunit ribosomal RNA", at positions 338 to 795 of the family's 1533-position model. The record is from RNAcentral.
CCUACGGGAGGCAGCAGUAGGGAAUUUUUCACAAUGGGCGAAAGCCUGAUGGAGCAACGCCGCGUGCAGGAUGAAGGCCUUCGGGUUGUAAACUGCUUUUAUAAGCGAGAAAUAUGAUGGUAACUUAUGAAUAAGGAUCGGCUAACUACGUGCCAGCAGCCGCGGUCAUACGUAGGAUCCGAGCAUUAUCCGGAGUGACUGUGUGUAAAGAGUUGCGUAGGUGGAAUAAUAAGUAGCUAGUGAAAUCUGGUGGCUCAACCAUUCAGACUAUUAGCUAAACUGUUAAGCUCGAGACCGUUAGGGGUAACUGGAAUUUCUAGUGUAGGAGUGAAAUCCGUAGAUAUUAGAAGGAACACCAAUAGCGUAGGCAGGUUGCUGGGACGGUUCUGACACUAAGGCACGAAAGCGUAGGGAGCAAACGGGAUUAGAUACCCGUGUAGUC